RNAcentral lists this ribosomal RNA (301 nucleotides) under uncultured bacterium. Its description in RNAcentral is "partial 16S ribosomal RNA". It matches the Rfam family "Bacterial small subunit ribosomal RNA", at positions 509 to 809 of the family's 1533-position model. The record is from RNAcentral.
CAGCAGCCGCGGUAAUACGAGGGGGGCAAGCGUUGUUCGGAAUUAUUGGGCGUAAAGGGCGCGUAGGCGGUUUGGCAAGUUUGGUGUGAAAUCUUCGGGCUCAACUCGAAGUCUGCAUCGAAAACUGCCGGGCUUGAGUAUGGGAGAGGUGAGUGGAAUUUCCGGUGUAGCGGUGAAAUGCGUAGAUAUCGGAAGGAACACCUGUGGCGAAAGCGGCUCACUGGACCAUUACUGACGCUGAGGCGCGAAAGCUGGGGGAGCAAACAGGAUUAGAUACCCCCGUAGUCCCUGUCUCUUAUAA